UACCAGCACCCCGAGUGGUCGGGACGAUUAUUGGGCCUAAAGCAUCCGUAGCCGGUCUUGCAAGUCCUCCGUUAAAUCCAGCUGCUUAACGGAUGGGCUGCGGAAGAUACUACAAGACUAGGAGGCGGGAGAGGCAAGCGGUACUCAGUGGGUAGGGGUAAAAUCCUCUGAUCCAUUGAAGACCACCAGUGGCGAAGGCGGCUUGCCAGAACGCGCUCGACGGUGAGGGAUGAAAGCUGGGGGAGCAAACCGG
Molecule: ribosomal RNA, 253 nt
Filed under: uncultured bacterium
Lineage: Bacteria
Description: partial 16S ribosomal RNA
Rfam family: Archaeal small subunit ribosomal RNA
Source: RNAcentral